AAGACUAUAGACCUGCGGAGUACCUGCGGAGGGAUCAUUAUCGAGUGUGACCCUCCUGUAAAAAAGGGGGUACCUCCCGUCCUUUUGCUAGGCCCUCCCCCUCCAAAAAUUUUUUUGACAGGGGGAAGCUUUUUCAAACCUUCUGCUUCGGUGGGUUUUAAACCCCGCCGGAACAACCUCAAAAAUUCUUUAUAAUUGUUCUGUCCGAGAAAAAUUUUAUUAAAAUGAAAAAACUUUCAG
Molecule: unclassified non-coding RNA, 240 nt
Filed under: soil metagenome
Description: partial contains 5.8S ribosomal RNA, internal transcribed spacer 2, and large subunit ribosomal RNA
Source: RNAcentral